Molecule: long non-coding RNA, 787 nt
Organism: Armigeres subalbatus
Lineage: Eukaryota; Metazoa; Arthropoda; Insecta; Diptera; Culicidae
Exons: 2
Source: RefSeq, a predicted model, not a curated record
CAUCCCUACACCCAUCCUGAAACACUCCCGUAACGCACCGUUGACAUCGACUGUCAACGCGACAGUUCACUACCACUGCAUCACUGAUCGUCGACCACCACCACCAUCACGGACGAACGGUAAAAACUACCGGACAACGAGUCGACGAGCUCUCUUGGAGGGACCAUUUAAGUGGCCGAAGUAAGAGUCGCGUGUGCAAUUUCGUACUGUCUCAAAUUUUGAGCAGAAAAGUGACGUCGAGUGUUCCUUAGCGGACGGCCGAAAAACUAAUCACCGGUGAGCCCUUUCCCACCAUUUUGGCCCAGUUGCUGCAGCCAAAAGGAAGCCAGUGCGUGAAGAAGCCAUUCGCGUACACGCGGAGUCACCGAAGAGCAACGCCAUCGCUUGGCUCGGGAAAAAGUAGCCUUUACCCCGGCGCACGGAAAGUGUAUUGUCCGUCAUUGAGUGAACCUACGGAGGAUAAAUGAGCGGUGUGCCAUUUUUUCACCGUCGAAAAGUUUGGAGGUUACCUUUGACCGUUUACCAUCGUCAAGAACGGCCCCUCAAAUCUCCAGGAUUCUGGAAUCGACGCGUUCCGCAGCGGUGUUCCGACAACCCUCUGACCAACGAGAAAAGGCCCGGGAGAAUGGAGUGUCGAAGCCUAACAGUCGCCAAAGCCAGUACCGCUGGUCGAUCACCGUCGUCGGGAAGUGAAAUGGUAUGUCAUUAAAUUCCUACCUUACUCCUCAGAAUGAGAACAUGACCAAAUAAUGUUAUUAAUGAGAAUAUAAUAUGUAAAUCCAACCUA